Molecule: ribosomal RNA, 961 nt
Filed under: Cordyceps sp. 97005
Lineage: Eukaryota; Fungi; Ascomycota; Sordariomycetes; Hypocreales; Cordycipitaceae
Description: eukaryotic LSU rRNA
Rfam family: Eukaryotic large subunit ribosomal RNA
Source: RNAcentral
GUUGACCUCGAAUCAGGUAGGACUACCCGCUGAACUUAAGCAUAUCAAUAAGCGGAGGAAAAGAAACCAACAGGGAUUGCCCCAGUAACGGCGAGUGAAGCGGCAACAGCUCAAAUUUGAAAUCUGGCUCUCAGGGCCCGAGUUGUAAUUUGUAGAGGAUGCUUUUGGCGAGGUGCCUUCCGAGUUCCCUGGAACGGGACGCCACAGAGGGUGAGAGCCCCGUAUGGUCGGACACCGAGCCUCUGUAAAGCUCCUUCGACGAGUCGAGUAGUUUGGGAAUGCUGCUCAAAAUGGGAGGUAUAUGUCUUCUAAAGCUAAAUAUUGGCCAGAGACCGAUAGCGCACAAGUAGAGUGAUCGAAAGAUGAAAAGCACUUUGAAAAGAGGGUUAAAAAGUACGUGAAAUUGUUGAAAGGGAAGCGCCUAUGACCAGACUUGCGCCCGGUGAAUCACCCAGCGUUCUCGCUGGUGCACUUUGCCGGGCACAGGCCAGCAUCAGUUCAGCGCGGGGGAGAAAGGCUUCGGGAAUGUGGCUCCCUCGGGAGUGUUAUAGCCCGCUGCGUAAUGCCCUGCGCCGGACUGAGGUACGCGCAUUGCAAGGAUGCUGGCGUAAUGGUCAUCAGCGACCCGUCUUGAAACACGGACCAAGGAGUCGUCUUCGUAUGCGAGUGUUCGGGUGUCAAACCCCUACGCGUAAUGAAAGUGAACGCAGGUGAGAGCUUCGGCGCAUCACCGACCGAUCCUGAUGUUCUCGGAUGGAUUUGAGUAAGAGCAUACGGGGCCGGACCCGAAAGAAGGUGAACUAUGCCUGUAUAGGGUGAAGCCAGAGGAAACUCUGGUGGAGGCUCGCAGCGGUUCUGACGUGCGAAUCGAUCGUCAAAUAUGGGCAUGGGGGCGAAAGACUAAUCGAACCUUCUAGUAGCUGGUUUCCGCCGAAGUUUCCCUCAGGAUAGCAGUGUUGAA